This is a long non-coding RNA of Drosophila sulfurigaster albostrigata, 874 nucleotides long. RefSeq lists it as uncharacterized. The transcript has 3 exons. Lineage: Eukaryota; Metazoa; Arthropoda; Insecta; Diptera; Drosophilidae. The record is from RefSeq and is a predicted model, not a curated record.
AGCUUGUAGUUGUAAAAGAUUUGGUGAAACACGUUAAUAUAUAAGGCAGGAAUCUAACUACGUUAACAUUGAGAUAUUUGUUGGAAAAAACAUUUGCAUAUUUAUAACCAGACCGCAAUUUGCAUAAUGGAAUUUAAUUAAUUUCAACUGAUAGACGAUGGUACGAACCAUAUUUGGCAUGUCGGAAAUAUCCACAUACGAAUAAAAUUUACAGACAAAAGUUUCCCGUAUCAGAUAUGAUUUGCUUUCAGGGGCCAAAAACCCGAAUGUUCAAUAUGGAAAUAUGCUGUGUGACCACCUUGUACUACAAUAUUGGUAGAAAGCAAAUUACAUAAAUAUCAAAAAGAAGAAAAAUAUGAUAAAAGUCCAUUUGCAUAAAAACACACAGGAAACGAACCCAUAAAAUUGCCAUAUCAGGAGCAAAAGGAAACAAAUCCAUGUUAAUGCCAGCAAUAUUCCAUUUGAAAGAGUUUUCAAAAUGGCAAACAAAAACAAAUUUUGUCCUAUUAAUGUGCGCAUAAAAACUAUUUUUAUACAUAUUUGCUUUACUUUGUGUGGCGGGACAAAACUCUCUUUUUUCUCUCUUUCAAAAGGCCUCGGGCAUUAUGUGGGCAACGCUUUCGCCAGCGAGUUAAAUAAACGUAAGAAAAAUGCGCGUGGGUUUCCGCAGUGAAAACAAACAAACUGGCAAACAAACGAAGCAAACUGUUUUCCAAUCUAAGCUGUUGACAAAUUGAAAUGUUUUUGCUUUCCCACUCGCAGUCGCCGUCGUCGUCGGAAUCGAAAUCGCAAUCGCAUAUGCAAAUUGAUGAUCAAACACCCACCCAUAACGGGAAAGUAAAUAAUAACACGGGCAAUAAAAAAAAAUAAAUAA